Molecule: long non-coding RNA, 156 nt
Organism: Cucumis melo (muskmelon)
Lineage: Eukaryota; Viridiplantae; Streptophyta; Magnoliopsida; Cucurbitales; Cucurbitaceae
Exons: 3
Source: RefSeq, a predicted model, not a curated record
UCUUGGACCAAGUAACUGCUGCAGCGUGGGAUUUCUUCAGUAGGGGCUCGAGCACUGCAACCUCUUUCUAGGUUAGGACCUCGUCGCUUGGAAAGCAUACUGCCUCGCGGUUAGGACUCGUCAAGUAAAUCUCCAGGUAGAGGACGAGGCAGGGGC